GACGAACGCUGGCGGCAUGCCUAAUACAUGCAAGUAGAACGCUGAUGUACUAUGCUUGCACUGUGUUUGAGUGGCGCAAGCGUGUGUGUCACGCGUGUAACCUCCGCGCUAGCGGGGGGUAACACUUGGAAACACGAGUGAUAAUCCCACAUUAGUCGUUGUAGCAUGUGAUCCAGUGAAGAAAUGCAGCUUUUUCACUAACACAUGGACCUGCGCUGUAUUUGUUAGUUGGUGAGGUAACUGAUCACCAACGCAAGGAUACAUAGCCGACCUGAGAGGGGGAUCGGCCACACUGGGACUGAGACACGGCCCAGACUCCUACGGGAGGCAGCAGUAGGGAAUCUUCGGCAAUGGACGGAAGUCUGACCGAGCAACGCCGCGUGAGUGAAGAAGGUUUUCGGAUCGUAAAGCUCUGUUGUAAGAGAAGAACGAGUGUGAGAGUGGAAAGUUCACACUGUGACGGUAGCUUACCAGAAAGGGACGGCUAACUACGUG
RNAcentral lists this ribosomal RNA (495 nucleotides) under uncultured bacterium. Its description in RNAcentral is "partial 16S ribosomal RNA". It matches the Rfam family "Bacterial small subunit ribosomal RNA", at positions 28 to 507 of the family's 1533-position model. The record is from RNAcentral.